RNAcentral lists this ribosomal RNA (301 nucleotides) under uncultured bacterium. Its description in RNAcentral is "partial 16S ribosomal RNA". It matches the Rfam family "Bacterial small subunit ribosomal RNA", at positions 509 to 807 of the family's 1533-position model. The record is from RNAcentral.
CAGUCGCCGCGGGAAUACAGAGGGUGCGAGCGUUAAUCGGAUUUACUGGGCGUAAAGCGUGCGUAGGCGGCUUUUUAAGUCGGAUGUGAAAUCCCUGAGCUUAACUUAGGAAUUGCAUUCGAUACUGGGAAGCUAGAGUAUGGGAGAGGAUGGUAGAAUUCCAGGUGUAGCGGUGAAAUGCGUAGAGAUCUGGAGGAAUACCGAUGGCGAAGGCGGCCCCCUGGGCCUGUACUGACGCUCAUGCACGAAAGCGUGGGGAGCAAACAGGAUUAGAUACCCGGGUAGUCCCUGUCUCUUAUAC